Molecule: transfer RNA, 69 nt
Filed under: Uta stansburiana
Lineage: Eukaryota; Metazoa; Chordata; Lepidosauria; Squamata; Phrynosomatidae
Description: tRNA-Ala
Rfam family: tRNA
About the family: Transfer RNA (tRNA) molecules are approximately 80 nucleotides in length. Their secondary structure includes four short double-helical elements and three loops (D, anti-codon, and T loops).
Source: RNAcentral
GAGGCCUUAGCUUAAUUAAAGUGUUUGAUUUGCAUUCAAUUGAUGUGUACUAGUGUUACACAGGUCUUA